AGAAUCAACGCUGGCGGCGUGCCUAACACAUGCAAGUCGAACGCGGUUACCCCGCAAGGGGUGACUGAGUGGCAAACGGGUGAGUAACGCGUGGGUGACCUACCUUCGAGUGGGGGAUAACGUUUCGAAAGGAACGCUAAUACCGCAUGACAUCCUGCCUUUGGACAGGCGGAGAUCAAAGCCGGGGAUCGCAAGACCUGGCGCUUAAAGAGGGCCCGCGUCCGAUUAGCUAGUUGGUGGGUAACGGCUCACCAAGGCGACGAUCGGUA
Molecule: ribosomal RNA, 269 nt
Filed under: uncultured soil bacterium
Lineage: Bacteria
Description: partial 16S ribosomal RNA
Rfam family: Bacterial small subunit ribosomal RNA
Source: RNAcentral